CCUAGGUCAAAAGUUUUAUUCAGGUUUAUGUGGCUUGUGCACUUGCCAGUAUUUACUUCAAAAGGUAACAAUUCAAUUCCAAGAUGAUUUAUUCUAUUACAAGUAGUAUCACUUAGUAUACUUUUGAAACAGGGUACAACUUCUCUGACAUUUAAAAUCAACAGAUGUAGCUGGCAUUGUAAAAUUUUCUAACAUACGAGGUCAACAAACAAACUACACGGCAAGUAUUCGGUGUAAUACUUUAUUUUCUAUUGUAUUAAACGAAAGCCAGGAAAAUACCAAGUUAUUUAAAGGCAAAUCUUUACUCCUUAAAGAAAAAAUACAAACUGUGGUAUUUUUAAGAGAUCGUUAUAUUUUACACAUAGCAUGCCUUUUUUUCC
RNAcentral lists this long non-coding RNA (380 nucleotides) under Homo sapiens (human). RNAcentral describes it as "HSALNT0018513". The record is from RNAcentral. Lineage: Eukaryota; Metazoa; Chordata; Mammalia; Primates; Hominidae.